This is a long non-coding RNA of Telopea speciosissima, 547 nucleotides long. RefSeq lists it as uncharacterized. Lineage: Eukaryota; Viridiplantae; Streptophyta; Magnoliopsida; Proteales; Proteaceae. The transcript is spliced from 3 exons. The record is from RefSeq and is a predicted model, not a curated record.
AUUUGUAAGUAAUUUAUGCUCUCUUUGUAGGGUUGCCCAGGAAGGCAAAGAAUGCCGAAGGAGGUGGCUGAAAGGAGAAAACAACGACUAUCAGAAGAUCAUGAAAAUGUUGAACAUGAAACAGAACCAGAACAACAUGAGUAGGGUCUUGAUACACCUGAUAUGCUUCCAAAUGAUAUUGUCAAUCUGCUUGCAGCUCGUGAGAAGAAAGUCUUCUUGCCAGAUUCUGAGGAAGAGAAAUUUGAGAAGAAGGGCACCCCCUAAAAGAGAAAGCACAAAAGCUCUGGACCAGAACCUGUGAUUUUGAAGGACAUACCCCCAGCCCAAUGCUUGCAGAACUCACUGGACUUCUUGAAUAAAAGGAAAAUGCAGGUUUCUAGAUCAUCAUCAGUUUUGGACAACCCCAACCAGGCAUUACAGUCUCCUUUCGAAAUGUGGCUUGUUAAGUAAGACGUGAGAUGUUAACAGAGCAUAUGUUAUUGUUUCAAUAGUAAUGAACUGAGAUACCUUUUCCCAAUGCUGUGCAACUAAUUAUAUCGACUUAUUG